AUGGAUAUGACUGUUGCUUACUUUAAGAGGCGUCAAGCUGAGAAUGCUCAAUUCUACUACGCAACAGAAGUUGACAAAGAAACAAACAAAGUGACAUCUCUGUUUUGGGUGGAUGGAAGGACAAGAGCAUUGUACCCAAAGUACAAAGAUUAUGUGUCCUUUGACACAACAUUUUGCACAAAUCGGUACAAUCUGCCUUUCGCUCCUAUUGUUGGUGUGAACAAUCACUUGCAAACCGUGCUGCUAGGUUGUGCCUUGGUGCCAAAUGAACAAAUAGAAACUUUCAAGUAGGUGUUUCAGCAUUGGAUGAUUGCAAUGAAUAAUGAGCACCCGUUGCACCUAAUGACUGACCAAGACAAGUGAAUGGAAACAGCAAUAAAAGAUGUCUUCCCAAACACAGUGCAUAGGUGCUGCAAAUGGCACGUCCAGCGAAAAGCAAGGGAAAAGUUGGGUAGGAUCCUGAGCAUGGAUGAAAUUUUUGAUCAGGUUUUCUAUGGGGUUAUCAAUGAUUCAGAGACGGUGGAUGAGUUCGAGGAGAAUUGGCAGCAUAUGCUGCAUUGCUUUGAAUUGGUUGACAACAGACAUCUAAGCAACAUGUGGCGUACGCGAGAGACCUAG
This 618-nucleotide ribosomal RNA is filed under the name Triticum aestivum (bread wheat). Its description in RNAcentral is "partial small subunit ribosomal RNA". The record is from RNAcentral. Lineage: Eukaryota; Viridiplantae; Streptophyta; Magnoliopsida; Poales; Poaceae.